RNAcentral lists this ribosomal RNA (506 nucleotides) under uncultured bacterium. RNAcentral describes it as "partial 16S ribosomal RNA". It matches the Rfam family "Bacterial small subunit ribosomal RNA", at positions 29 to 523 of the family's 1533-position model. The record is from RNAcentral.
AGUGAACGCUGGCGGUAGGCCUAACACAUGCAAGUCGAACGGCAGCACAGGAGAGCUUGCUCUCUGGGUGGCGAGUGGCGGACGGGUGAGGAAUACAUCGGAAUCUACCUUUUCGUGGGGGAUAACGUAGGGAAACUUACGCUAAUACCGCAUACGACCUACGGGUGAAAGCAGGGGACCUUCGGGCCUUGCGCGAUUGAAUGAGCCGAUGUCGGAUUAGCUAGUUGGCGGGGUAAAGGCCCACCAAGGCGACGAUCCGUAGCUGGUCUGAGAGGAUGAUCAGCCACACUGGAACUGAGACACGGUCCAGACUCCCACGGGAGGCAGCAGUGGGGAAUAUUGGACAAUGGGCGCAAGCCUGAUCCAGCCAUACCGCGUGGGUGAAGAAGGCCUUCGGGUUGUAAAGCCCUUUUGUUGGGAAAGAAAUCCAGCUGGCUAAUACCCGGUUGGGAUGACGGUACCCAAAGAAUAAGCACCGGCUAACUCCGUGCCAGCCGCCGCGGUAA